AUUCCAGCUCCAAUAGCGUAUAUUAAAGUUGUUGCCGUUAAAAAGCUCGUAGUCGAACUUCGGUCCCUGUUGGUCGGUCCGCCUUCUUGGUGUGUACUUACUCAACGGGGACUUACCUCCUGGUGAACUGCGAUGUCCUUUACUGGGUGUCGUAGCGAACUAGGACGUUUACUUUGAAAAAAUUAGAGUGUUCAAAGCAGGCCUACGCCCGAAUACAUUAGCAUGGAAUAAUAGAAUAGGACGCGCGUUCCCAUUUUGUUGGUUUCUGAGAUCGCCGUAAUGAUUAAUAGGGAUAGUUGGGGGCAUUUGUAUUCUGUCGUCAGAGGUGAAAUUCUUGGAUUGCCGGAAGACAAACUAUUGCGAAAGCAUUUGCCAAGGAUGUUUUCAUCG
Molecule: ribosomal RNA, 390 nt
Filed under: Leucosporidium sp.
Lineage: Eukaryota; Fungi; Basidiomycota; Microbotryomycetes; Leucosporidiales; Leucosporidiaceae
Description: partial small subunit ribosomal RNA
Rfam family: Eukaryotic small subunit ribosomal RNA
Source: RNAcentral